GCUGAUUUUGGAUUAAUUGGGGGCAGAGGCGGGCACCAAGGAGGAGCCGCUGGCAGCCGAGCUGAUCAAUCCCCUGGCGCUGCGGCAGCGCGAGGAGAUCCGCGAGAAGCUGGCGGCGGCCAAGGAGAAACGGCUGCUGAACCAGAAACUGGGGAAGGUGAAGACGCUGGGGGAGGAGGAGCCCUGGCUGGACGACGCGGCCGCGUGGAUCGAGCGCAGCCGGGCGCUGCAGAGGGAGAAGGAGCUGGCAGAGAAAAGGGCCAAGCUGCUGGAGGAGAUGGACCAGGAGUUCGGGGUCAGCCCCUUGGUGGAGGAGGAGUUCCAGCGGCGCCGGAGGGAGCGUUACAGCGCCCGGGACCUGCAGGGGCUGACGGUGGAGCACGACCCGGCCUCGAUCCCCGAGGGACAAACGCUGGUGCUGACCCUCAAGGACAGGGGUCCGUGGGGACAUGGGGACAUUGGGGACAUGGGG
Long non-coding RNA from Passer montanus (Eurasian tree sparrow), 472 nucleotides. RefSeq lists it as uncharacterized. NCBI's taxonomy places the organism in Eukaryota, Metazoa, Chordata, Aves, Passeriformes, Passeridae. The transcript has 4 exons. The record is from RefSeq and is a predicted model, not a curated record.